CUUGGUCUAAUUCAUUUUUAUGUAGCAGUGGAGGGCUGAUGCUAAUAGUCGAGCCAAUGGGAGCUAUUAUCAUAGCUUGCUGAUAUAUGGAGAAAGAAACAAAUGAUCAAAUGUCAUAAAUUUGCAAUAGUAAAACGAUUGAAAUGAUUUUCUCAGGCUACACAAUUUUAUUUGGAAAAUAUGGAGGCCGAAGGAAUGCAGAAUGCCGGUUUUCGAUUUAUUAUGUCAUUUAAUUGUCAUGUGGGUUUUAUAUUCAGUCAUUCUAUGAAGUAUGAACAUAUAUUAAGGCCUUUUUUUUUUCUGGAUGGAACUUUGCAUACACAGUAUCGCGUGUAAUAGAGAAGGUAUUGCAUUCUAUCUUGGACCCAUGAUGCGUCUGCUGGAUAAACACACACACCAACCAGUAGCUUUCUUCCUUUCCCAAGAACAUGAGUGGCUAAGGAAAAGUUUGAAUCCAGUUAAAGUGGCUUAAACUGAUUGAGAAUGAUUCAAACGUUUGGUUUAUUUUUUUUUUUUGGUUUUAAUGGAACUGUUUUACUACAUAUUGUUUAAAGGAUUAAGUCGACAAAUUGACCACAUUGAGAUCACAAGAUAUUGCACUGAUGAUGUAUUUUGUCAGUCCUUAGUUUCAUCCCCCUUUUUUUUUUUAACUUUU
This 655-nucleotide unclassified non-coding RNA is filed under the name Hevea brasiliensis (rubber tree). The record is from RNAcentral. Lineage: Eukaryota; Viridiplantae; Streptophyta; Magnoliopsida; Malpighiales; Euphorbiaceae.